GAUUCUUUGCUUCCAGUUACUGAAACUGCGGAAAGCAAAACCGCAGGCAAGGCGGGGACUACUGUAUAUAUUAUAUACGUAAUUUCACAUAUGUGUUGUUCUGAAAACAUACGCAAGAAAUGAAUAAUACUGUUGGCCUGUUAGAGACAUAACUGGACGACUGAGGGACAGAGAGAAAUAAUAGUUAUGAUCCUUGAAGCGUGCAGACCAACACUAUUCUUAGAAGGGAGCUGCAGGAGGUUUAUUAUGUCAUGAAACAUGGAGCCAGAACAAAGGACUACUGAAUCACUCACCUUAUCUUCAUCUAAGAAACCUGAGAAUUACAGGGCUUCUCUGUUCCUCCCAAACUCAGCACUGCACUUGUGAAGACAGUAAGUUUUAGGGCCCAAUCUA
Long non-coding RNA from Hyaena hyaena (striped hyena), 393 nucleotides. RefSeq lists it as uncharacterized. Lineage: Eukaryota; Metazoa; Chordata; Mammalia; Carnivora; Hyaenidae. The record is from RefSeq and is a predicted model, not a curated record. The transcript has 2 exons.